AAUCUGUGAUAAUAUAGUUUAGUUGAAAACUAAUUGUUAUCACCAUUAUCAGUGGACUUCGAGGUUACACACUGCAGUCAAUGUUGUAUCGAAUAUUUAAUUAAUAUAGACAUGUGCAUUUUUUUUAAGUAGGCAGAUAGAGAGCGCUAAAUUAACUUUGCGUUACUAUGUACUCGUUUACUACUUAAAAAUAUGUGAAUAUAUUUGUUUCCAUGGAAAUUAAGUGUCAGAAGAGUUUUAUCAUGGUUUUAGCGACACAAACACAAGAAAAGCCAACCUUAAUGGCAAACCAAGACAUAAACUGAAAAUAUUUUAGUCAAAACAGGCUCAUUGCAUCAUCAUCAUCCAGGUUAGCCGUUGUCAACUAAAAAAGUUUCACAAAUUUUGCAAAAGCAUAUUUCGAUCCUCAUCACCAAAAGCCAGAUCAACCACAAUCCAAAAUAUAUAAGUAACAACAAUUACCACAACCAGUCCAUCUUCGAUCGUGAAUUCCUUUUCAAGCUCUUUUAACUCCGGAAGCAAGUGCAUGCAAUUUAUGCAGCAGUAUGUAAAGAAAUCUAAAAGUACAACUUUUCCACGGAGAUGAGUCUUAAACGAUAAUGGUUCGCUCGUAUUAAACCACUCCAAUCCUAUAAAAAAAGUUUGGUUUAUGUUCAUCCUAAAUGAAAAUUGAACUAUCCUUAUCGCUGUCCCCCCUUUCUGUUAUAAAAGUCACAAAUUCCUCAUGAGAAGCUAAUAUGUCAGUCAUUAUAAAUUAGUAUAUAAUUUGUAUUUAAAAACUUGCUAUUACUAUAAAUAAACAGAUCCAAG
Long non-coding RNA from Photinus pyralis (common eastern firefly), 810 nucleotides. RefSeq lists it as uncharacterized. The transcript is spliced from 3 exons. The record is from RefSeq and is a predicted model, not a curated record. NCBI's taxonomy places the organism in Eukaryota, Metazoa, Arthropoda, Insecta, Coleoptera, Lampyridae.